GGUUGGUCCGAGUGCAGUUGUGUUCACAACUAAUUGAUCAUGACCAGUUACAGACUCCUUUGUUCCUCUUCCACUCCCACUGCUCCACUUGACCAGCCUUAA
RNAcentral lists this Y RNA (102 nucleotides) under Propithecus coquereli (Coquerel's sifaka). RNAcentral describes it as "Y RNA (ENSPCOG00000003155.1)". It matches the Rfam family "Y RNA". Rfam says of the family: Y RNAs are components of the Ro ribonucleoprotein particle (Ro RNP), in association with Ro60 and La proteins. The record is from Rfam by way of RNAcentral. Lineage: Eukaryota; Metazoa; Chordata; Mammalia; Primates; Indriidae.